This 402-nucleotide RNase P RNA is filed under the name Nonomuraea sp. C10. Its description in RNAcentral is "Bacterial RNase P class A". It matches the Rfam family "Bacterial RNase P class A". Rfam says of the family: Ribonuclease P (RNase P) is a ubiquitous endoribonuclease, found in archaea, bacteria and eukarya as well as chloroplasts and mitochondria. Its best characterised activity is the generation of mature 5'-ends of tRNAs by cleaving the 5'-leader elements of precursor-tRNAs. The record is from Rfam by way of RNAcentral. Lineage: Bacteria; Bacillati; Actinomycetota; Actinomycetes; Streptosporangiales; Streptosporangiaceae.
CGAGCCGGCCGGGCGACCGCGUCGGGCCUCUUCACGAGGCCCGCCGAGGAAGGUCCGGGCUCCACAGGGCAGGGUGGUCGGUAACGCCGACCCGGGGCGACCCGCGGGAAAGUGCCACAGAAAGCAAACCGCCUUCCGGAUUUCCGGGAGGUAAGGGUGAAAGGGUGGUGUAAGAGACCACCAGCGCCCACGGUGACGUGGGCGGCUCGGUAAACCCCACCCGGAGCAAGGUCAAGAAGGGAUGUUCCCCUCGGGGACCGUCCCGCGUGCGCCGCUUGAGGGCUGCCCGCCCGAGGCGCACGGGUAGACCGCUCGAGGCCGCCGGCAACGACGGCCCUAGAUGGAUGGUCGCCCCUUCGCCUCGGCGAAGGACAGAACCCGGCCUACAGGCCGGCUCGUCCC